Molecule: RNA transcript, 4837 nt
Organism: Gallus gallus (chicken)
Lineage: Eukaryota; Metazoa; Chordata; Aves; Galliformes; Phasianidae
Exons: 5
Source: RefSeq, a predicted model, not a curated record
GGGGGCGAAGAGCCGGAGUUUGCUCGGGGGCGGAGGCCGCGGGCCGCCCUCGUCUGCCCCUGGGCCGUUUUUAUGCCCCGGUAUGCCCCUUCACGCCGCUCCCUGCCGAGGCUGGAAGCGGCAGCGGUACACAGAUGCAUGUUCUGCCCCUAAGAGAUGAUGAAGAUGGAAGUUCGUGGCUUGCUCCUUGCUUCUCAGAUAUGGACAGGUGACAACCUACAAGCCACGUGAGCGAUCCUGGUGUCCUGCAGCCACCUCGCCACUCUCUACCAAUAGUCCAAGUGUGGGGGACACAGGAGUGUCUUGGUGAUGGGAUGACAGCCUUGCUGCAUGUCAGGCUCCUGAAGCCGGUGAAGGAGAAACAGCAGUCUGAGGUGAAACAACAUUCAACAAAACCUCAUCAAAUGCUUUCAGAGGUCUCUGAAAAAAUUACUGUUGUGCUUAAAAAUUGAAUAUUAUCUACUAAACUUUAUUUUCGUUUGAAACCUGACUGUCCCAUCCUCCCCGUUUUCAUCUAAGAAUGAAAAUGACACGUUACAUUAAAGGCUUAAGUAGCAGUCGCAGGAGAUUAAAUGCAGUUAAGCAUAACGAAGCGUGAGGAUGACAAGAAAAAUGAAGCAGAGGUGCCUUAUCUCCCAAUUCAUCGCAGUACAAAUUUUAUAUUCCAGACACAAAUGCCACUUUGGGAUUGAAAUCGUACUACGUGAAUCCGUGUGAGUGAAGCAGCUGAGGCACAGGGAGAUAGCCUUGCCAGGUACCUGUCCAGGUGACCUGCAGAUGGAAGAACAAAAUGCAGAUUUCUGUGAUGUAGUCCAGUGCUCAAGCACAUCUUUUUGCAUAAAUGAUGGUAGGUCAAACUGUUGCAAGCAUUGUGGAAAUGAUGCAGCCCAAAUUGCUGAGGAGCUUACACUAGUGAAAUAGACAGGUAACCUGAGAGACAAUAAUAUAGCUCCUGAGAAGAAUAUUGUCCUCAGGAAGUUAGAUGGAGGUCCGAUCAGUUGGCCAAAGAUCUGCAUUAAAAAUAGUGUGUUUUUACUAAAACAGGCACUCUACAUUUUUGUAUAUGUUUGUCAUUAAGUUAGAUGGUACUCUAUUCGAGGAAGGACACUUUCUAUGUAGGCCUUCAAAGCCAUUCCCAUCUCAGUGCUAGGAAAUGUGCAGCUGAAUUGUAAAUUUGCAUAGAGGUGAAGGAUGAAGAUGCUAAAAAAUUGUUCCUCCUCUCCCAUCAUCUUAAAUGAUGAGCAAAAUGUGAGGCUUCUUAUGAACUCACCAAGCCCACUGUAUCUACUGUACCCACGGCCAACAGCAUUCAUGGGAUUUGUGUGACUCACCAUUGAGCGCUAUCCUUCGUGAAGGCACUACACUGAAUAGCUAAAUACAGUCACUAAUUUUAUUUGAUUAAAUGUACGUAUUCCACUUCCUCUAUAUGCUCUUAUGAAGUCAUUACCCAUUAUGACAGCUUGUUAAAGCAUAAAAUGGCGUUGUUCUUUCCCUUCCUAGAAAGGGAUGGAGGCACGCUGUUACAAAGCCUCCCAUUUCUAAGACUUGUGAAGAUGUACCACAGAACAUUUGGUGUUGCAUAUUGUUCAUAUUGAAAACUCUGACGAGUGAGCAAGCUCUUUACACACUGCAUUUUUCCUCUUUUUUCUUCUUAUUGCCAGUUUGCAGUGGCAACAUGCUAAUGGUGUGAAUUAGUCGUUAGUUCAUGACUCUGAGGAAAAGGACCACAUGAAAAUUGUAAGUUAGAAUGUAAGUAAGUGGACACCAUUCAGACUGAAAUACUGCAUAGCCUGGCAGUGUGUUGCUAAUUUCUGGUUUAUUUCCAAACAAAUCAUGUUAAAAUACGAGUCAAAACUAUCUGGCAGGGAUUUAAAGUACAAUGUGGCAACAACCCCAAAACCUAUUACUUUACAUUCAGGGUUUCUCUGUGUACUCUAUUAGACUUCUUUAAUUCAUCCCUAAUUAUAAAUUGCUAUCUGUAAGUUCCCAAAAAAUGGUUUAAUACUCCCAGGCCUAAUGCUAUGAUUUAGGGCAGAAUACAUACCAUAAUACCGUAUUUUCAGUGCAAAAUUAAACCUUACCUCCAGCAAACCACCAAUGUCUUCCAGUAUUUUUCAGAUUUACUGUAUUUCAAUAUGCAGAAUCCUUAGCUUGUAUGCUUAAUCUCUUUUCUCAGUCUAUUAGCAGGACUGAGUCUCUUCAUUCUCAGUGCAGAAGUGCAGUACAACAGAAGAACAAAUACAUUCUGCAGGUGGAGAGAAGAGCCGUGGGUUCAUGGUAAGGACAGCAUCCAUCUGCCCCAGGUAAAUCUAAGCCCAUCUUCCCAGCUUGUAGGUGCCUUUGUUUACCUUUUGCUCCAUAACAAACCCAGAAACUCCCUGAUAAAAUUCCCUUCGGAUCAUGACCGUAGAGAAAUCCAUUCUGCAUUCUUAAAGCUUUUGUGGCAGAUAGCUUGUAAGCUGUAAGCAUAAAAAUCACGUACAAAUAAAUAAAUGUUGAGAGAGAAAUUAUGUGACAUAAAGUGUAUGUGAAAAUUAAUGUUGAAAAUGCUCUGAAUACGGGGAAGAAAUGAAAGGAUAGUUCCACGGCAGCAGCUGUAUCUGUUUUACCUUGAGAUUGUUAUCUCUGUAACUGAUUACAUCUCAAAAUCUUAAAACCAUUGACAGUUGUUAAGGGGAAACAAACUUGUGCAUUUGGCCAUGGCAGGUCUUUCCUGCUGUAAGCUUCACAGGAGUUUCUACCUCCACACUGAUCUUUUCUUACAGCACUCUUAGGUGAUGUGUCUUCUCUUGUGCUUGUAAUCAUCUUUCCCUUCUAUUAUAUAUAAUAGGUAAUGUAUAUGUAUAUGCAAUAUAUAAAAUGCUCAAAAAGCUCACGAUUUAAGAGUAAUUAAGAUAUUACUACCUCAGAAACACAAAAUGUCACUCUUAUGUGCUCAUACUUGUUCUGCUGAGCCAGCCCAUCUCAGUGACAGAGGGAAGUGCAGAUAAUACAGACUGGCAUCAAGCAGUAGCUAUUCCUGUAAGCAGACAGAGCAGAAGUUAUCGCUGCAUUUCUUGACACAGAAACACAUGGAUGGCUCUGUACUGUGUGAAAAAAACACUGUAUUGCUGUGUGCUUAUGACAAAAAAAUAAGAAUCCUUUGUCAAUAGGAUACCAUUAUUUUUGGAUAAACAAAACCAAAAUCAAAAAAGAGCAAAUAAGCGGAUAUAUGCGAUGCAUGACACACAGUCCCAUAUGAUCAACAUCAGUUAUUUUGGCAAUCUACUUUCAGAAAUGGGAGUUUUCACAAGAGUGAAAAUUGCUUCUACAUCACUUGGAAGUGGAGCUUACUGCUGUCAGGUUGCCAGAACUCUUAAACGAGUGCUCAAGCAUCACUCCCUCUUUCGGUGAUUUCAUAUAUUUAUACUUACUGUCACAACUAGGGGAGGAUCAGCAAGGAUUUGUUCCUUGUUCAGAAGAUCACGGAGUCUGCUACCUGCCAGCACGCUCCGCUUCCAGCAGCGGAAGCUCUUACUCAUCACCAAUCUUGUCCCUGACAUACUUCAGCAUCCAACAGUUCUUUCACACCUUCCGGGCUCCUAUAUUUAGGAAUUUCUUCUUCUCCCCGGUUGGCUCCAAGCCAGAAACAUAUCCCCUUACGUGGAAGAUUCUUAACUUUGCUCACGCUGCUUUUUUGACAUUUGCUUUCUUGGUAGGUUCUGCUUCUGUAGACUGUUGAGUACUAAGUGUAUGAUGAGAGUCUACAUGGUUUUCUACAUUAUAAAUCACAGAUAUGCUCAAGUUUGACAGGAUUCUUGAAUACUGGCUUGCAGCAUCCCAGAUCUGUAGUGCCAGAGAGAGAUGUGGACAGACCUUUGAUCUCGAGGGCCAGAAUUUGGUCACAUUCACAAACACGUUUGGAAGCUUGCAAAUGUGGCCAAGAGAGGGAAUAGGGGAUGUCACUGAUGAGCUGUGCAGAAAUGUCACCUCCUGGAGAACCAUCUAAUAGAUGGACUACAUCCGAGUUCUGCUAAUGCUCUCCAUCAAGCAGACACAUUUAGCACUGCUGCAGUCACAGCUGGAAUACACAGCACAGCAGCAUAUGUUGAAAUCCAGGACGCCCAGUUCAACAGGGAAGAGUGAGUAAUAUAAAUGGCAUUAACUGAAAUUAAUUUCAGGAUGUUCUUCGAUGGAAAGCAUGCUCAUAUCUCAAAAUCAGUCCAUUCAGCAGGCAAAUAAACGGUUUCAACAUUUUUCAGGGAAAUCUCAGUAGCAUUCCUUGGGCUUGUAGGUCAUGCUUAGUACAGUCAAGCAGGCUUAAAUGCAACGUUAAUUACAGUUUUUUUUCCUUUUACAUAUUUUGAAUGGAACAUGACAACAAACGUACACAUUCUUGUGUUUCUGAUGCAUUCUUUUCUUGCAGAAGCCCCAGUUGGUAGUAAAGCAGUUCGCAGCACAGACCUUUCUGUGGAGAAGCUCAUGCAGCCGGCCGGCCAGCAAGCAGUUCUCACACUGCAGCAUCAUGCUUAGCUGUGUCAAGCAACAUAUAAAUCAUGAAGACAAAGUGCUGUUGAGCAACAAGGCAGCUUUUCCCAGCCAGGUCAGUAAGAAGAAACCACAGUUAUCAAAUCAGUGUCUUGGCAUUGAAGCUGCACAGCACCUCAGUGGAGCAGGUUAGUGGGAUCGGGUCCCUUCCUCCAGAGGAAGGUUUGUGCUGCUGUUUGGCCUCACCCACCUUCAGGCAGCUGAGUUUCUGUUGACUCGAAAGGAAAGCAAAAAGUCUGAAAUGCUGCUAAAAGGCCUCGUAUUGUCUGACAUCCUGUGACAAGAAAAAAAUAAACAACUUUGACCACAA